CGGGAGUGCCUGCACACCUGUAUUCACCCAGGAGGGAGGGGUGGGCCUUGGGUGUGUAGGACAGCACACUUACUGCAGCACUUUGGUCAGGAACUCUAGCUCUGACUUUCAUCACAGGCUGUCCUAUAUGUAUAAGGUAUCUUUUAUAUGAAAGCCGUUUUUUUUUUGUUUUUUUUUUUCCCCCCAAUUUGUAUCAAAGUUUACCAAGUGAAGGCAGCUGCAAAAUCUGCUGAUUUCCAUGUACAAAAGUUACCUCAGAUGUUGUUUCUGGGAGAAGACAUCCAGUUGCCUUAGACAUAGAACCGGAAAAAGACUAGUGCUUCACUGCUAACAAGAAAGUGGAGACGACUCACUGCUACUAAAGAUUUAUGCCCAGUUCUCUCUAUCUUGUGUAAGGAGCAAGGUGAACCUCAUCUGGGUGCCAUGCUGAAGAGGCAUUCCUGGGAAGUUCCUGGAGAAAAGUUGGUUUCAUGAAUGCUGACUGUCUGAAUGGGAAACGACCCCUGAACAAUUUAGGGAAAGAGCUGCGAAAGAGAAGCAGCUCAAGGCAAUCAGAGCUUCUGCAAACAGAAGGAGGCAAGACAGUUGCCAGGGUUAGAAAGAGAAGACAGUCUCACCUACAGGGAGGCACUGGAGACAGUCAAGAGGCUCUGCAAAAGCUGUGAAACACUAGCCAAGAAUUGGGUGUAUAUGUGGAUAUUUAGAUGUCUUUGAGAGCUUAUGGUGAGGUUUCAAAAUGAGAAAUACAUUAAGAAUUGAAUGAAGUGUUUUGCUUUUUACCUUGAAUGCCUGUGCACACCAGGAAAUAGUAACAAUGAGAAACCUUGUGAAUGAGAUUAUUGUGCAAAGAGGAAAUCUGUGUCCCUUAGAGUCGUGCUCUCAGAAAUGACUGGAAUUGAACUGAACUUAAAAGGCUUUCUUAAAUCACUGGAAUAGCGUUGUGCAUUGCAUUUCUUGUUGUUCUGAAUGAUUGGAAAUAUCCAUAUUUCCUCUUGUAGUAUUCAAAAAUGACUAAUGAGAAUUCAGAAUAUGGACAUGUAAAUGAAUACUCAAGUGCCAGUCAAAAAAACUGCAUAUUUCCUUUUUUGGAGGGUGAACUUUUUGAUCACCCUAAAAGAAGAAAGACAGAUAACUCUAUGCUAAAAUGCAAUCUAAAAUGGUGGUGAUGGGAGGAAAACUGUGGGAAAACUGUGGAAACUGUAGGUUUUGUUUGAUCAUUUUCCAGGAGAUCUGCUAUGUUUGAAAGGAUGUCUGAGUAUCCAUGUAGCCACAUCAGGAUCUGCCCUGCCCCUGUUUUGGGGCAGACUUAAGGGAGGCUGCCCAACACUCAGAUGCCAGGAUUGGCACCGGCAGCCAUUGUAUAGGAUGAUUUGAGGAAUGUGUGGCAAAAAAAGUCUGCAGUACAAUUUGUGGAUCUGCUUUUAGCAUUGUUCAACCUGGCAACUCUGCUUAGUUCCAUUGGCAUCAGCUAGUGUUUUUCCGUAAUAUGCCAUUUGUGUCAGAGUACAUUUGAUCUUUAUAUUCAAAUUAAUUUGUUAGAUUAAUAUGUUUUGUUGAAUGCACUAUUGGAAAUGAAGAAAAUAAUCUGCUGUAUGGAGUACAUGGACAGUGUUUUUAGGGUGAGACCAAAUCAAAAUUAUUAUAAUAAAUUCAGUGCAGGAUUGGUUUUCUUUCUCUUC
Long non-coding RNA from Coturnix japonica (Japanese quail), 1679 nucleotides. NCBI's taxonomy places the organism in Eukaryota, Metazoa, Chordata, Aves, Galliformes, Phasianidae. The record is from Ensembl.